Molecule: ribosomal RNA, 468 nt
Filed under: uncultured bacterium
Lineage: Bacteria
Description: partial 16S ribosomal RNA
Rfam family: Bacterial small subunit ribosomal RNA
Source: RNAcentral
GACGAACGCUGGCGGCGUGCUUAACACAUGCAAGUUGAACGGAAAGGCCCUGCUUUUGUGGGGUGCUCGAGUGGCGAACGGGUGAGUAACACGUGAGUAACCUGCCCUUGACUUUGGGAUAACUUCAGGAAACUGGGGCUAAUACCGGAUAGGAGCUCCUGCUGCAUGGUGGGGGUUGGAAAGUUUCGGCGGUUGGGGAUGGACUCGCGGCUUAUCAGCUUGUUGGUGGGGUAGUGGCUUACCAAGGCUUUGACGGGUAGCCGGCCUGAGAGGGUGACCGGCCACAUUGGGACUGAGAUACGGCCCAGACUCCUACGGGAGGUAGCAGUGGGGAAUAUUGCACAAGGGGCGGAAGCCUGAUGCAGCAACGCCGCGUGCGGGAUGACGGCCUUCGGGUUGUAAACCGCUUUCGCCUGUGACGAAGCGUGAGUGACGGUAAUGGGUAAAGAAGCACCGGCUAACUACGUG